UACGUAGGGUGCAAGCGUUAAUCGGAAUUACUGGGCGUAAAGCGUGCGCAGGCGGUUCGGAAAGAAAGAUGUGAAAUCCCAGGGCUCAACCUUGGAACUGCAUUUUUAACUCCCGGACUAGAGUAUGUCAGAGGGGGGUGGAAUUCCACGUGUAGCAGUGAAAUGCGUAGAGAUGUGGAGGAACACCGAUGGCGAAGGCAGCCCCCUGGGAUAAUACUGACGCUCAGGCACGAAAGCGUGGGUAGCAAACAGGAUUAGAUACCCUGGUAGUCCACGCCCUAAACGAUGUCAACUAGCUGUUGGGUUCUUCGGAGCUUAGUAGCGCAGCUAACGCGUGAAGUUGACCGCCUGGGGAGUACGGUCGCAAGAUUAAA
Molecule: ribosomal RNA, 374 nt
Filed under: uncultured bacterium
Lineage: Bacteria
Description: bacterial SSU rRNA
Rfam family: Bacterial small subunit ribosomal RNA
Source: RNAcentral